RNAcentral lists this transfer RNA (77 nucleotides) under Streptococcus vestibularis. Its description in RNAcentral is "tRNA-Ile(gat)". It matches the Rfam family "tRNA". Rfam says of the family: Transfer RNA (tRNA) molecules are approximately 80 nucleotides in length. Their secondary structure includes four short double-helical elements and three loops (D, anti-codon, and T loops). Further hydrogen bonds mediate the characteristic L-shaped molecular structure. tRNAs have two regions of fundamental functional importance: the anti-codon, which is responsible for specific mRNA codon recognition, and the 3' end, to which the tRNAs corresponding amino acid is attached (by aminoacyl-tRNA synthetases). tRNAs cope with the degeneracy of the genetic code in two manners: having more than one tRNA (with a specific anti-codon) for a particular amino acid; and 'wobble' base-pairing, i.e. permitting non-standard base-pairing at the 3rd anti-codon position. The record is from RNAcentral. Lineage: Bacteria; Bacillati; Bacillota; Bacilli; Lactobacillales; Streptococcaceae.
UGGGCGCGUAGCUCAGAUGGUUAGAGCGCACGCCUGAUAAGCGUGAGGUCGGUGGUUCGAUUCCACUCGUGCCCAUC